ACUUAAGUAGUUUAAAAAAAAUUAUGAUUUGUGGAGUCAUAGAUAUAAAGUAUUAUUUUAGGUU
This 64-nucleotide transfer RNA is filed under the name Pliacanthopus bimaculatus. RNAcentral describes it as "tRNA-His". Lineage: Eukaryota; Metazoa; Arthropoda; Insecta; Mantodea; Nanomantidae. The record is from RNAcentral.